Molecule: non-coding RNA, 29 nt
Filed under: Rattus norvegicus (Norway rat)
Lineage: Eukaryota; Metazoa; Chordata; Mammalia; Rodentia; Muridae
Source: RNAcentral
UACAGAAGUACUUUCAUGUCAAGGUUGUC